Molecule: long non-coding RNA, 1043 nt
Filed under: Ananas comosus (pineapple)
Lineage: Eukaryota; Viridiplantae; Streptophyta; Magnoliopsida; Poales; Bromeliaceae
Description: long non-coding RNA (ACOM_LNC032799)
Source: RNAcentral
UAGUUCUCACGCCCCUAUUUCUAUGUUUCCUUUUCAGAGCCUUCGGCACCGGCGGAGGCACAGGAUCGCGGCAAGGGUGUCGCGUAGCUAGCUCGCGGAGAGUUCUUUUGCGCUAGGUGGUUACUCCUCCAUUUUUUUAUAUUUUGUGAGAUGGGGAGAGGUUUUGUACCAUGUAUAGAGAGACCACCUUGUACUCCUUUUAGCACUUGUUAUGGGAUCCCUAUUGUUCUUACUUUAUGUUUUUAUUUAGUGGAUUUACAGUUUUAUCCUUAUCCUUUGUUGUAGCAUUUAGACAUUUAUUAUACUCUGAUACUCCUAGAUGCCUUUUAUUAUUGCUUUUAUUAUUGUUGUUUUUAGACGCCUUAUAUGUUUUAGACGUAUGGCGGGUCUGGGCACGUGCCGGGCGGGCUUCCGCUGGGUCCCGGGGCGUGACAUGUAAUGAGGUACAAAGAAUCAUGAAUGUAAAUGGAUGCAAUGUAUAUGAUCAAAAAUGAAUCAUAGUACUUGUAAAUGUUUAGUUUUCCUUUCUUUCACUAAUGGCUAUUGCUUACCCUCGUGUAAGCCGUUUGUGUAUGUUUCCGCUAGUGCUUUUCUCUAUUGAUGAAAAUAUACAUGUGAUGAGCUUUGGGCGGAUAGGGGAAACUCUGUCCGUUCGGCGUCUGUUUGACGUGCUCGGGUCGGGCCAAAUUGGUAUCUGUCCCGGGGCGUGACAAGCGUCUAGAUGGUCUGUGAUUCAUCUACUUUGUGAGACGAAAAUCAAUCAAAUAUACACCGAUUUCUUGUGGAUAUGUAUAAAAGCCGGACACGUGCGCGACUAUGCAAGAACCUCAAAAUAAUAAUCGAAGCAUACACUACCAACCGUACUGUAGAUCAAGAGAUCUCAACUGGCACACGGUAAGAUAUCUAAACAUAAAAAUUAAGUAUAUACUAAUUUUGCAUAGUAACAUGAGAAUGAUCCACUAGCAUUGGAUUGAUUUCUUGUUUUCGGUUUCUUCUAUGGUACGUAUUUGACUUUCAAUAAAUUAAAAUUGCAAAAUUAUUUU